RNAcentral lists this microRNA (22 nucleotides) under Mus musculus (house mouse). RNAcentral's name for it is "mmu-miR-3084-5p". The record is from miRBase by way of RNAcentral. Lineage: Eukaryota; Metazoa; Chordata; Mammalia; Rodentia; Muridae. RNAcentral also lists the same sequence under 1 other name.
GUUGAAGGUUAAUUAGCAGAGU